UUCUUGAAUGUCACCAACUUUUUAAAAAUUUCCUUACAGAUAAAAAAGUUUCCCUAUGCCCUAGAAGUGGAUCCUAAUCCCUAAAUGCAGGGAAACUUGCUUAAUUAAGGGCAAGGUCUCCUUUUUGUUAAGGAAUUUAUUCCUGGAAAAGAUUUAGACCACGUGUGGAAACGAAACAAAAGAAACAAGUUGAAGAAGACUUGCCAAUAAAGAAAAGUGGAAUUUAUCUUCUGUAAUAAAUUAAAGUGAAGAAAAAAGAAGGAACUUCGAAAUAAAAAGAGCUAAAAUUACAGUGAAAGAAUCUUCAAAAGGAAGGUAAAAAGGCACACUUUUUGUGGCGGCACACAAGCAGAUUUAAAUGUUGCUGGCUAAUUUUCACCCUGAAAAUUCAGAAAACAGAAUCUAAAAAGGAGAAGAACGAAAUUCAAUCCAGCAAGAAUGAAAUCCACGAUUCACUCUUAAAAGUUUGUAUUUUACAGGCUUGUACGUUGUGUAUUUCUUUUAUAAGAAACGUGUUACGAAGGAAAGUAUUCUUUUUAUCUGAAUCCAACAUAUAUACAUAUAUAUAAUUCUACAUUUAACAAUGGGGAUAUGAAUAAAACAAACAUUCUAAUAUUAAAAAGUUACUUGGAGUAAAAUCUAUAAAAUUUAAAUUAAUACAUGUUAUUACUUUCAGUUGUUCUUUGGAUGAAACAGUUUAAGAAGAAAAUAUUUUCCAAGAUUAAAGAAAAUAUUGUAUGCUGUUUUACUUACAUCGAUGCUCCUCAUUUUAAAAUAUAAUUGAAGAAGCAGAAGAUAGAUUUAUUUCAUGGAUAUAGAAAUAAGGAUCAAUGCAAAAGCAUGAAGAUAUACAAACGCUUUUAAAAUGUUUUACAGAAAUUGUUUACUUUAAUAUGUUGUUUGUGAUUUAG
RNAcentral lists this long non-coding RNA (911 nucleotides) under Centruroides sculpturatus (bark scorpion). RNAcentral's name for it is "uncharacterized LOC111622284, transcript variant X1". Lineage: Eukaryota; Metazoa; Arthropoda; Arachnida; Scorpiones; Buthidae. The record is from RNAcentral.